GUGAGGAAUAUUGGUCAAUGGGCGGAAGCCUGACCCAGCAACGCCGCGUGAAGGAAGAAGGUCUUCGGAUCGUAAACUUCUAUCCUUGGUGAAGAUAAUGACGGUAGCCGAGAAGGAAGCCCCGGCUAACUACGUGCCAGCAGCCGCGGCAAUACGUAGGGGGCAAGCGUUGUCCGGAAUGAUUGGGCGUAAAGGGCGCGUAGGCGGCCUGGUAAGUCUGGAGUGAAAGUCCUGCUUUUAAGGUGGGAAUUGCUUUGGAUACUGUCGGGCUUGAGUGCAGGAGAGGUAAGUGGAAUUCCCGGUGUAGCGGUGAAAUGCGUAGAGAUCGGGAGGAACACCAGUGGCGAAGGCGACUUACUGGACUGUAACUGACGCUGAGGCGCGAAAGUGUGGGGAGCAAACAGGAUUAGAUACCCGGGUAGUCC
RNAcentral lists this ribosomal RNA (425 nucleotides) under uncultured bacterium. RNAcentral describes it as "partial 16S ribosomal RNA". It matches the Rfam family "Bacterial small subunit ribosomal RNA", at positions 354 to 796 of the family's 1533-position model. The record is from RNAcentral.